Molecule: long non-coding RNA, 302 nt
Filed under: Phoenix dactylifera (date palm)
Lineage: Eukaryota; Viridiplantae; Streptophyta; Magnoliopsida; Arecales; Arecaceae
Description: long non-coding RNA (PDAC_LNC006168)
Source: RNAcentral
AAGCAACUUGCCCAACCCACCCAAGCCCAAACUGUUUUGGAAGGAUCUUUGCUUGAUUUUGAAGCCCGAAGGGCCAAGUUGAGCCUAAAAUUUAAGCUCACCUAUUAAAUGAGUUGGGCUCAGGUUUACAUCGACUCGGCUCAUGCUCGGCAUGAGCCUGAUAUUUAUAUAAUAUAUAAUAUGACACAAUAUAUAUUCAUAUAGAAUCUAUAUUAUAUAAUAUUAAAUAUUCUUUCAUGUUCUUUCUCAUCUCAUCCUCCCGAUCUCUCUUUCCCCACCUCCCCCUCCUCUCCUCCACCUCC